Molecule: ribosomal RNA, 429 nt
Filed under: uncultured bacterium
Lineage: Bacteria
Description: bacterial SSU rRNA
Rfam family: Bacterial small subunit ribosomal RNA
Source: RNAcentral
GGACCCGCACAAGUAGUGGAGCAUGUGGUUUAAUUCGAAGAUACGCGCAGAACCUUACCAACACUUGACAUGUUCGUCGCGACUUUAAGAGAUUAAAGUUUUCGGUUCGGCCGGACGAAACACAGGUGCUGCAUGGCUGUCGUCAGCUCGUGUCGUGAGAUGUUGGGUUAAGUCCCGCAACGAGCGCAACCCUCACUUUUAGUUGCCAUCAUUAAGUUGGGCACUCUGAAAGAACUGCCAGUGAUAAGCUGGAGGAAGGUGGGGAUGACGUCAAGUCCUCAUGGCCCUUACGUGUUGGGCUACACACGUGCUACAAUGGUAUCUACAACAGGAAGCAAAACGGCGACGUUAAGCAAAUCUUUAAAACCGAUCUCAGUUCGGAUCGCAGUCUGCAACUCGACUGCGUGAAGCUGGAAUCGCUAGUAAUCG